Molecule: transfer RNA, 72 nt
Filed under: Phytophthora infestans T30-4
Lineage: Eukaryota; Oomycota; Peronosporomycetes; Peronosporales; Peronosporaceae
Rfam family: tRNA
About the family: Transfer RNA (tRNA) molecules are approximately 80 nucleotides in length.
Source: Rfam by way of RNAcentral
GGGCGCAUAGCGCAGUGGUAGCGCGUCCGCUUUGCAAGCGGAAGGCCUCGGGUUCAAUCCCCGGUGUGUCCA